RNAcentral lists this ribosomal RNA (470 nucleotides) under uncultured organism. RNAcentral's name for it is "partial 16S ribosomal RNA". It matches the Rfam family "Bacterial small subunit ribosomal RNA", at positions 335 to 797 of the family's 1533-position model. The record is from RNAcentral.
ACUCCUGCGGGAGGCAGCAGUGGGGAAUUUUGGACAAUGGGCGAAAGCCUGAUCCAGCCAUGCCGCGUGCAGGAUGAAGGCCUUCGGGUUGUAAACUGCUUUUGUACGGAACGAAACGGCCUUUUCUAAUAAAGAGGGCUAAUGACGGUACCGUAAGAAUAAGCACCGGCUAACUACGUGCCAGCAGCCGCGGUAAUACGUAGGGUGCAAGCGUUAAUCGGAAUUACUGGGCGUAAAGCGUGCGCAGGCGGUUAUGUAAGACAGUUGUGAAAUCCCCGGGCUCAACCUGGGAACUGCAUCUGUGACUGCAUAGCUAGAGUACGGUAGAGGGGGAUGGAAUUCCGCGUGUAGCAGUGAAAUGCGUAGAUAUGCGGAGGAACACCGAUGGCGAAGGCAAUCCCCUGGACCUGUACUGACGCUCAUGCACGAAAGCGUGGGGAGCAAACAGGAUUAGAUACCCGGGUAGUCCC